AUUAGCCAUCGUAGUUUUUAACAAAUCGCCGGUUAAUUUUACAUCGGAUAUAAGUAUAAUAUUGUGAAAACAAUGGAAGAAUGUCAUUAAAUUGCUCGGCCCAAUCUAAUACUACUCCUUUCUGUCUCAAGAACCAUUUAAAACGGAAAACAUCUCUUCUCACACUCGUUAUGGCUACAGAGAGGCAUCUUUUCCUAGUUACUAAUAAUAACUUUCUCGACCUUACUGGUAAUCUGAUGUUAAGGAUAGAUGUCGGAAAAACUCCAUUCAAUCUACACUGUUUCAGAAACAUAAAACAUUCUUCUAAGAGGAUUAAUUUCUUG
Molecule: long non-coding RNA, 323 nt
Filed under: Androctonus crassicauda
Lineage: Eukaryota; Metazoa; Arthropoda; Arachnida; Scorpiones; Buthidae
Source: RNAcentral